RNAcentral lists this ribosomal RNA (548 nucleotides) under uncultured bacterium. Its description in RNAcentral is "bacterial SSU rRNA". It matches the Rfam family "Bacterial small subunit ribosomal RNA", at positions 9 to 553 of the family's 1533-position model. The record is from RNAcentral.
GAGUUUGAUCCUGGCUCAGGAUGAACGCUAGCGGCAGGCCUAACACAUGCAAGUCGAGGGGUAACAGGAAAGCUUGCUUUCGCUGACGACCGGCGCACGGGUGCGUAACGCGUAUGCAACCUACCUCAUACUGGAGAAUAGCCCCUGGAAACGGGGAUUAAUACUCCAUAGUAUCGUUCUUUCGCAUGUUUGAAUGAUUAAAGAAUUUCGGUAUGAGAUGGGCAUGCGUCCCAUUAGCUAGUUGGUGAGGUAACGGCUCACCAAGGCUACGAUGGGUAGGGGGCCUGAGAGGGUGGUCCCCCACACUGGUACUGAGACACGGACCAGACUCCUACGGGAGGCAGCAGUGAGGAAUAUUGGUCAAUAGAGGCAACUCUGAACCAGCCAUGCCGCGUGAAGGAUGACGGCCCUAUGGGUUGUAAACUUCUUUUGAAUAGGAAGAAACUUAUCUACGUGUAGAUAACUGACGGUACUAUUAGAAUAAGGAUCGGCUAACUCCGUGCCAGCAGCCGCGGUAAUACGGAGGAUCCAAGCGUUAUCCGGAUUCA